This 505-nucleotide ribosomal RNA is filed under the name uncultured Sphingobacteriales bacterium. Its description in RNAcentral is "bacterial SSU rRNA". It matches the Rfam family "Bacterial small subunit ribosomal RNA", at positions 903 to 1382 of the family's 1533-position model. Lineage: Bacteria; Pseudomonadati; Bacteroidota; Sphingobacteriia; Sphingobacteriales. The record is from RNAcentral.
CGCCUUGCCAGCCCGCUCAGAAACUUAAAGGAAUUGACGGGGGCCCGCACAAGCGGAGGAGCAUGUGGUUUAAUUCGAUGAUACGCGAGGAACCUUACCUGGGCUCGAACGUAAGAUGACUGUAGGUGAAAGCUUACAUCUCUUCGGAGCAUUUUACGAGGUGCUGCAUGGUUGUCGUCAGCUCGUGCCGUGAGGUGUCGGGUUAAGUCCCAUAACGAGCGCAACCCCUACCUUUAGUUGCCAUCAGGUAAUGCUGGGGACUCUAAAGGAACUGCCUACGCAAGUAGUGAGGAAGGCGGGGAUGACGUCAAAUCAGCACGGCCCUUACGUCCAGGGCUACACACGUGCUACAAUGGCCGAUACAGAGGGCAGCUACCUGGUGACAGGAUGCAAAUCUCCAAAGUCGGUCUCAGUUCGGAUCGGAGUCUGCAACCCGACUCCGUGAAGUUGGAUUCGCUAGUAAUCGCGCAUCAGCCAUGGCGCGGUGAAUACGUUCCCGGGCCUU